Molecule: ribosomal RNA, 253 nt
Filed under: uncultured bacterium
Lineage: Bacteria
Description: partial 16S ribosomal RNA
Rfam family: Bacterial small subunit ribosomal RNA
Source: RNAcentral
UACGUAGGGGGCAAGCGUUGUCCGGAAUCAUUGGGCGUAAAGCGCGUGUAGGCGGUUCAGUAAGUCUGCUGUGAAAGUCCAGGGCUCAACCCUGGGAUGCCGGUGGAUACUGCUGGGCUAGAGUACGGAAGAGGCGAGUGGAAUUCCCGGUGUAGCGGUGAAAUGCGUAGAGAUCGGGAGGAAUACCAGUGGCGAAGGCGGCCUUCUGGACUGACACUGACGCUGAGGCGCGAAAGCCAGGGGAGCAAACGGG